UUCAGCAUUUCAAAACUUUAUUAACCUAUCACCCGACGUUGGAGUUUUUAACCUGACAUGGUAAACCCACGCCGUUUUCAAAAAUUUCACUUUUUUCUUUAAUCCAAAAUUAUAUUUUUAAUCAUCGGUCCGUCGUAGUUUUUUGUAAGAGAAAUUUUUCCACAUGAUCAUUUUUUCACGUGUUCAUCAUUCUUAGUUUUUGACGUCGUACCUGAAGACGCUUUUAGAAAAAGCGAAACAUUGUUGUACCGAAAUUAGAAAAAAAUAAUAAAUAAUCAUCGUGGA
RNAcentral lists this long non-coding RNA (285 nucleotides) under Onthophagus taurus. RNAcentral describes it as "uncharacterized LOC111418785". Lineage: Eukaryota; Metazoa; Arthropoda; Insecta; Coleoptera; Scarabaeidae. The record is from RNAcentral.